RNAcentral lists this ribosomal RNA (434 nucleotides) under uncultured Coprococcus sp. RNAcentral describes it as "partial 16S ribosomal RNA". It matches the Rfam family "Bacterial small subunit ribosomal RNA", at positions 341 to 792 of the family's 1533-position model. Lineage: Bacteria; Bacillati; Bacillota; Clostridia; Lachnospirales; Lachnospiraceae. The record is from RNAcentral.
ACGGGAGGCAGCAGUGGGGAAUAUUGCACAAUGGGGGAAACCCUGAUGCAGCGACGCCGCGUGAGUGAAGAAGUAUUUCGGUAUGUAAAGCUCUAUCAGCAGGGAAGAUAAUGACGGUACCUGACUAAGAAGCCCCGGCUAACUACGUGCCAGCAGCCGCGGUAAUACGUAGGGGGCAAGCGUUAUCCGGAUUUACUGGGUGUAAAGGGUGCGUAGGUGGUAUGGCAAGUCAGAAGUGAAAACGCGGGGCUUAACCUCGCGACUGCUUUUGAAACUGUCAAACUAGAGUGCAGGAGAGGCAAGCGGAAUUCCUAGUGUAGCGGUGAAAUGCGUAGAUAUUAGGAGGAACACCAGUGGCGAAGGCGGCUUGCUGGACUGUAACUGACACUGAGGCACGAAAGCGUGGGGAGCAAACAGGAUUAGAUACCCUGGUA